UGAGCAAUCUGCCCUUCUCAUCGGAAUAAGCGUUGGAAACGACGUCUAAUGCCGAAUACGACCUCCUUUCGCAUGAUCGGAGGUGGAAAGCUCCGGCGGAGAAGGAUGAGCUCGCGGCCUAUCAGCUAGUUGGUGUGGGUAGUGGCCCACAAGGCGACGACGGGUAGCCGGCCUGAGGAGGGUGACCGGCCACACUGGGACUGAGACACGGCCCAGACCUCCGUACGGGGAGCAG
This 235-nucleotide ribosomal RNA is filed under the name uncultured bacterium. RNAcentral describes it as "partial 16S ribosomal RNA". It matches the Rfam family "Bacterial small subunit ribosomal RNA", at positions 118 to 351 of the family's 1533-position model. The record is from RNAcentral.